GCCGGGGUAGCUCAGUUGGUUAGAGCGCAGGACUCAUAAACCUGAGGUCGACGGUUCAAUUCCGUCUCCCGGCA
This 74-nucleotide transfer RNA is filed under the name bacterium. Its description in RNAcentral is "tRNA-Met". It matches the Rfam family "tRNA". From Rfam's summary of the family: Transfer RNA (tRNA) molecules are approximately 80 nucleotides in length. Their secondary structure includes four short double-helical elements and three loops (D, anti-codon, and T loops). The record is from RNAcentral. RNAcentral also lists the same sequence under 1 other name.